AUUUCAUGAUUUGGACAUUUUUCGAAGCAUAUUCUUGAACCUCUCCCAAGCCUCGUGAAAGCUCUCAUAUUCGGAUUGUUGGAAAGUGGUUAUGUCAUGCUUGAGUUU
RNAcentral lists this small nucleolar RNA (108 nucleotides) under Olea europaea subsp. europaea. Its description in RNAcentral is "Plant small nucleolar RNA R71". It matches the Rfam family "Plant small nucleolar RNA R71". Rfam says of the family: R71 is a member of the C/D box family of snoRNAs containing the C (UGAUGA) and D (CUGA) box motifs. Multiple nearly identical copies of this snoRNA have been identified in Arabidopsis, and it is thought to function as a 2'-O-ribose methylation guide for 18S ribosomal RNA. The record is from Rfam by way of RNAcentral. Lineage: Eukaryota; Viridiplantae; Streptophyta; Magnoliopsida; Lamiales; Oleaceae.